GAAAAAUGUAAAUUAAAUUAUAAUAAUCAAUGAUAUAUUAAUACAUAGAAAUAUCAUUCGAAUGACAUCCGUUGAUUAUUUAAAAACAGUUUUUUUCCUAAAAUAUUCAGUAUUUAUAAUUAAGAUAUGAAAAUGCACCUUAAGAUUCACUAUACAGUGCUACAUAUCAAGGUAUAAAAAUAUUAGAAAUAAGUUAAAACGAUUUUGUAUUAAAAUAAAUUCAAUAUUCUGAUUUUGACAAUCCACCAGAUAUAAAAUUUGGAAAAAAAACACUUUACAUUUUAUAAUAUUUGAUAUUUAUAAUGACGGAAUGAAAAUUGAAUAAGAUGUCUACUGUAUAUACAUCAUUAAGUUUCUAAAUUAACAAUGGUACUGACAAUACAUUUUUUUACAUUUUCAGUUAAAAAUAUCUAUAAUGAAUUCAUCGUUGGACUGACAGAUGGUGUGAAUGUUUGCUUGGAAUCAUUUAAAGGCUUAAUUAACUACAUGGCUACCUUGAUUUAGUAAAUGUCUAUAAGACACCACCUCUCAAGAAAUCUGUCCAAGAGCUUCAAUACUUGGUUCUUCAGAAUCACCUGGGCUGAGUGACUAUUGUCUACAUGGUUGAACGAUGGAAAAAUUUAAAAAUAUCUGUAAGGAAUUCAUCGUUGGACCGACAGAUGGUGUGAAUGUUUGCUUGGAAUCAUUUAAAGGCAUAAUUAACUACAUGGCUACCUUGAUUUAGUAAAUGUCUAUAAGAUACCACCUCUCAAGAAAUCUGUCUAAGAGCUUCAAUACUUGGUUUUUCAGAAUCACCUGGGCUGAGUGACUAUUGUCUACAUGGUUGAACGAUGGAAAAAUUUAAAAAUAUCUAUAAUGAAUUCAUCGUUGGACCGACAGAUGGUGUGAAUGUUUGCUUGGAAUCAUUUAAAGGCUUAAUUAACUACAUGGCUACCUUGAUUUAGUAAAUGUCUAUAAGACACCACCUCUCAAGAAAUCUGUCCAAGAGCUUCAAUACAUUGUUUUUCAGAAUCACCUGGGCUGAGUGACUAUUGUCUACAUGGUUGAACGAUGGAAAAAUUUAAAAAUAUCUAUAAUGAAUUCAUCGUUGGACCGACAGAUGGUGUGAAUGUUUGCUUGGAAUCAUUUAAAGGCUUAAUUAACUACAUGGCUACCUUGAGCUAGUAAAUGUCUAUAAGACACCACCUCUCAAGAAAUCUGUCCAAGAGCUUCAAUACUUGGUUCUUCAGAAUCACCUGGGCUGAGUGACUAUUGUCUACAUGGUUGAACAAUGGAAAAAUGUAAAUUAAAUUAUAAUAUUCGAUGAUAUAUUAAUACAUAGAAAUAUCAUUCGUAUGACAUCCGUUUAUCAUUUAAAAACAGUUUUUUUCCUAAAAUAUUCAGUAUUUAUAAUGAAGAUAUGAAAAUCCACCUUAAGAUUCACUAUACAGUGCUACAUAUCAAGGUAUAAAAAUAUUAGAAAUAAGUUAAAACGAUUUUGUAUUAAAAUAAAUUCAAUAUUCUGAUUUUGACAAUCCACCAGAUAUAAAAUUUGGAAAAAAAACACUUUACAUUUUAUAAUAUUUGAUAUUUAUAAUGACGGAAUGAAAAUUGAAUAAGAUGUCUACUGUAUAUACAUCAUUAAGUUUCUAUAUUAACAAUGGUACUGACAAUACAUUUUUUUACAUUUUCAGUUAAAAAUAUCUAUAAUGAAUUCAUCGUUGGACCGACAGAUGGUGUGAAUGUUUGCUUGGAAUCAUUUAAAGGCUUAAUUAACUACAUGGCUACCUUGAGCUAGUAAAUGUCUAUAAGACACCACCUCUCAAGAAAUCUGUCCAAGAGCUUCAAUACUUGGUUCUUCAGAAUCACCUGGGCUGAGUGACUAUUGUCUACAUGGUUGAACAAUGGAAAAAUGUAAAUUAAAUUAUAAUAUUCGAUGAUAUAUUAAUACAUAGAAAUAUCAUUCGUAUGACAUCCGUUUAUCAUUUAAAAACAGUUUUUUUCCUAAAAUAUUCAGUAUUUAUAAUGAAGAUAUGAAAAUCCACCUUAAGAUUCACUAUACAGUGCUACAUAUCAAGUUAAAAAUAUCUGUAAGGAAUUCAUCGUUGGACCGACAGAUGGUGUGAAUGUUUGCUUGGAAUCAUUUAAAGGCUUAAUUAACUACAUGGCUACCUUGAUUUAGUAAAUGUCUAUAAGACACCACCUCUCAAGAAAUCUGUCCAAGAGCUUCAAUACUGGGUUCUUCAGAAUCACCUGGGCUGAGUGACUAUUGUCUACAUGGUUGAACAAUGGAAAAAUUUAAAAAUAUCUGUAAGGAAUUCAUCGUUGGACCGACAGAUGGUGUGAAUGUUUGCUUGGAAUCAUUUAAAGGCUUAAUUAACUACAUGGCUACCUUGAUUUAGUAAAUGUCUAUAAGACACCACCUCUCAAGAAAUCUGUCCAAGAGCUUCAAUACUUGGUUUUUCAGAAUCACCUAGGCUGAGUGACUAUUGUCUACAUGGUUGAACGAUGGAAAAAUUUAAAAAUAUCUAUAAUGAAUUCAUCGUUGGACCGACAGAUGGUGUGAAUGUUUGCUUGGAAUCAUUUAAAGGCUUAAUUAACUACAUGGCUACCUUGAUUUAGUAAAUGUCUAUAAGACACCACCUCUCAAGAAAUCUGUCCAAGAGCUUCAAUACAUUGUUUUUCAGAAUCACCUGGGCUGAGUGACUAUUGUCUACAUGGUUGAACGAUGGAAAAAUUUAAAAAUAUCUGUAAGGAAUUCAUCGUUGGACCGACAGAUGGUGUGAAUGUUUGCUUGGAAUCAUUUAAAGGCUUAAUUAACUACAUGGCUACCUUGAUUUAGUAAAUGUCUAUCAGGUGAGAUGAAUCAAUUGUCUGAGGAACUAUUUUUUAAAUUAAUAUCCAUAAAUUGAUUUUUUUAGUUUAAUAAUUUCAUUUUUUCCCUAAAAUUAUAUUUUUCAGACACCACCUCUCAAGAAAUCUGUCCAAGAGCUUCAAUACUUGGUUUUUCAGAAUCACCUGGGCUGAGUGACUAUUGUCUACAUGGUUGAACGAUGGAAAAAUUUAAAAAUAUCUAUAAUGAAUUCAUCAUUGGACCGACAGAAUGAACGUGUGAAUGUUUGCUUGGAAUCAUUUAAAGGCUUAAUUAACUACAUGGCUACCUUGAUUUAGUAAAUGUCUAUAAGAUACCACCUCUCAAGAAAUCUGUCUAAGAGCUUCAAUACUUGGUUUUUCAGAAUCACCUGGGCUGAGUGACUAUUGUCUACAUGGUUGAACGAUGGAAAAAUGUAAAUUAAAUUAUAAUAAUCAAUGAUAUAUUAAUACAUAGAAAUAUCAUUCAUAUGACAUCCGUUGAUCAUUUAAAAACAGUUUUUUUCCUAAAAUAUUCAGUAUUUAUAAUUAAGAUAUGAAAAUCCACCUUAAGAUUCACUAUACAGUGCUACAUAUCAAGGUAUAAAAUUAUUAGAAAUAAGUUAAAACGAUUUUGUAUUAAAAUAAAUUCAAUAUUCUGAUUUUGACAAUCCACCAGAUAUAAAAUUUGGAAAAAAAACACUUUACAUUUUAUAAUAUUUGAUAUUUAUAAUGACGGAAUGAAAAUUGAAUAAGAUGUCUACUGUAUAUACAUCAUUAAGUUUCUAAAUUAACAAUGGUACUGACAAUACAUUUUUUUUUAUUUUCAGUUAAAAAUAUCUAUAAUGAAUUCAUCAUUGGACCGACAGAUGGUGUGAAUGUUUGCUUGGAAUCAUUUAAAGGCUUAAUUAACUACAUGGCUACCUUGAGCUAGUAAAUGUCUAUAAGACACCACCUCUCAAGAAAUCUGUCCAAGAGCUUCAAUACUUGGUUUUUCAGAAUCACCUGGGCUGAGUGACUAUUGUCUACAUGGUUGAACGAUGGAAAAAUGUAAAUUAAAUUAUAAUAAUCAAUGAUAUAUUAAUACAUAGAUAUAUCAGUUGAAUGACAUCCGUUGAUCAUUUAAAACAGUUUUUUUCCUAAAAUAUUCAGUAUUUAUAAUUAAGAUACGAAAAUCCACCUUAAGAUGCACUAUACAGUGCUACAUAUCAAGGUAUAAAAAUAUUAGAAAUAAGUUAAAACGAUUUUGUAUUAAAAUAAAUUCAAUAUUCUGAUUUUGACAAUCCACCAGAUAUAAAAUUUGGAAAAAAAACACUUUACAUUUUAUAAUAUUUGAUGUGUAUAAUGACGGAAUGAAAAUUGAAUAAGAUGUCUACUGUAUAUACAUCAUUAAGUUUCUAUAUUAACAAUGGUACUGACAAUACAUUUUUUUACAUUUUCAGGUAAAAAUAUCUAUAAUGAAUUCAUCGUUGGACCGACAGAUGGUGUGAAUGUUUGCUUGGAAUCAUUUAAAGGCUUAAUUAACUACAUGGCUACCUUGAGCUAGUAAAUGUCUAUAAGACACCACCUCUCAAGAAAUCUGUCUAAGAGCUUCAAUACUUGGUUUUUCAGAAUCACCUGGGCUGAGUGACUGUUGUCUACAUGGUUGAACGAUGGAAAAAUUUAAAAAUAUCUAUAAUGAAUUCAUCGUUGGACCGACAGAUGGUGUGAAUGUUUGCUUAGAAUCAUUUAAAGGCUUAAUUAACUACAUGGCUACCU
Long non-coding RNA from Acyrthosiphon pisum (pea aphid), 4587 nucleotides. RefSeq lists it as uncharacterized. Lineage: Eukaryota; Metazoa; Arthropoda; Insecta; Hemiptera; Aphididae. The record is from RefSeq and is a predicted model, not a curated record. The transcript has 21 exons.